RNAcentral lists this ribosomal RNA (498 nucleotides) under uncultured bacterium. Its description in RNAcentral is "partial 16S ribosomal RNA". It matches the Rfam family "Bacterial small subunit ribosomal RNA", at positions 30 to 523 of the family's 1533-position model. The record is from RNAcentral.
AUUGAACGCUGGCGGCAUGCCUUACACAUGCAAGUCGAACGGUAACAGGUCUUCGGAUGCUGACGAGUGGCGAACGGGUGAGUAAUACAUCGGAACGUGCCCGAUCGCGGGGGAUAACGAAGCGAAAGCUUUGCUAAUACCGCAUAAGAUCUAAGGAUGAAAGCAGGGGACCGCAAGGCCUUGCGCGAGUGGAGCGGACGAUGGCAGAUUAGGUAGUUGGUGGGAUAAAAGCUGACCAAGCCGACGAUCUGUAGCUGGUCUGAGAGGACGACCAGCCACACUGGGACUGAGACACGGCCCAGACUCCUACGGGAGGCAGCAGUGGGGAAUUUUGGACAAUGGGCGAAAGCCUGAUCCAGCCAUGCCGCGUGCAGGAUGAAGGCCUUCGGGUUGUAAACUGCUUUUGUACGGAACGAAAAGACUCUUUCUAAUAAAGAGGGUCCAUGACGGUACCGUAAGAAUAAGCACCGGCUAACUACGUGCCAGCCGCCGCAGUAA